CGCGGGGGGCGGUGGGACAGGCGCAGCGGCGGCUCUGGCUCGGGCCCGCGGCCUCCGGGACUGCGGUCGCGGCCCGCGCAGGCCUAGGUCCCAUCAUCUCCUUUGGAACAAAGCAGUUCCAAGGAGAUAAGAGGGAAAGAACUGCAGGAAUCUCAAUCCCACCUGGAAGAAAACACUCCUGUGACUUCAGACCUCUGGCCAGAGCUUCAGAGAAGUGGAAGAACCCAAAAGGAGCAUAUUCUAGAUUUGCAAGGCCAGCAGCAAUUUUUGGUGCCCCUGCCCUAAAUAAAUCAGACUUCAGAUGUCCCAUCUGAAGCGGUCACAGCUUGGUGAGGUGGAAGGUCCAGGACCAGGUUUCAGCAGAGAGCUCUAAAUCCACACUUCUUUAUGCUUUCCCAAGACCAGCAGGAAAUGAACAGAUGCCAGGUGAGUUUAUUUUUAUUCUCAACUUUAUUUAAAAUACCUUUGUGUAAGGAUUUUAAGAGUCAGUAGAUUAG
This 497-nucleotide long non-coding RNA is filed under the name Dasypus novemcinctus (nine-banded armadillo). Its description in RNAcentral is "lncRNA (ENSDNOG00000050287.1)". The record is from RNAcentral. Lineage: Eukaryota; Metazoa; Chordata; Mammalia; Cingulata; Dasypodidae.